GGAUACACCUGGUUAAAAAAUCAGGCCAUUAUUUAAUGCAUGGCGGUCUCGCCACGAAGGGGUCCCUACGGGAAAAACCGUUGUCCGUCUUUGACGGACCGUGGGUUCGAAUCCCACCCUCUCCG
Molecule: transfer RNA, 125 nt
Filed under: Caldithrix sp.
Lineage: Bacteria; Pseudomonadati; Calditrichota; Calditrichia; Calditrichales; Calditrichaceae
Description: tRNA-OTHER
Source: RNAcentral